Molecule: ribosomal RNA, 301 nt
Filed under: uncultured bacterium
Lineage: Bacteria
Description: partial 16S ribosomal RNA
Rfam family: Bacterial small subunit ribosomal RNA
Source: RNAcentral
CAGUCGCCGCGGUAAAACGGAGGGAGCUAGCGUUAUUCGGAAUUACUGGGCGUAAAGCGCACGUAGGCGGCUUUGUAAGUUAGAGGUGAAAGCCUGGUGCUCAACACCAGAACUGCCUGUGAUACUGCAUCGCUUGAAUCCAGGAGAGGUGAGUGGAAUUCCGAGUGUAGAGGUGAAAUUCGUAGAUAUUGGGAAGAACACCGGUGGCGAAGGCGGCGACCUGGUCCUUGACUGACGCUGAGGCGCGAAAGCGUGGGGAGCAAACAGGAUUAGAUACCCCUGUAGUCCCUGUCUCUUAUAC